This 253-nucleotide ribosomal RNA is filed under the name uncultured bacterium. RNAcentral describes it as "partial 16S ribosomal RNA". It matches the Rfam family "Bacterial small subunit ribosomal RNA", at positions 524 to 776 of the family's 1533-position model. The record is from RNAcentral.
UACGUAGGUGGCAAGCGUUGUCCGGAUUUACUGGGCGUAAAGGGCGUGCAGGCGGUUUGUUAAGUGCAGAGUGAAAGCUCCCGGCUCAACUGGGAGAGGUCUUUGCAUACUGGCAAACUCGAGGGAGGCAGAGGAAAGUGGAAUUCCCGGUGUAGUGGUGAUAUGCGUAGAUAUCGGGAGGAACACCUGUGGCGAAGGCGGCUUUCUGGGCCUUACCUGACGCUGAGACGCGAAAGCGUGGGGAGCGAACCGG